This 253-nucleotide ribosomal RNA is filed under the name uncultured bacterium. RNAcentral's name for it is "partial 16S ribosomal RNA". It matches the Rfam family "Bacterial small subunit ribosomal RNA", at positions 524 to 776 of the family's 1533-position model. The record is from RNAcentral.
UACGGAGGGGACUAGCGUUGUUCGGAAUUACUGGGCGUAAAGCGCACGUAGGCGGAUUUGUAAGUCAGUUGUGAAAUCCCGGGGCUCAACCUCGGAACUGCCUUUGAUACUGCAAAUCUCGAGUCCGGAAGAGGUGAGUGGAAUUCCUAGUGUAGAGGUGAAAUUCGUAGAUAUUAGGAAGAACACCAGUGGCGAAGGCGGCUCACUGGUCCGGUACUGACGCUGAGGUGCGAAAGCGUGGGGAGCAAACAGG